Manis javanica (Malayan pangolin) is the source of this 683-nucleotide long non-coding RNA. RefSeq lists it as uncharacterized. The record is from RefSeq and is a predicted model, not a curated record. Lineage: Eukaryota; Metazoa; Chordata; Mammalia; Pholidota; Manidae.
CAGAUCCUCCCUGAGAAGAAAAAGACAGAUGGGAUGAUGGAAUUCUGUGGCUGUGUUUCCUAGAGCAUUUACUAGAGAAGUUAUGACUCUUCCUAGUUACUGCUGGAUAUGUAUUUAGAAUACUUUCUGCCAUGACAACAGCAUGAGCUCAGUAGAAAAUCAGAGCUGAGAAUCCAGGAGCACUUCCAUAUAGAAGGCUGAUAUUUGACAUGAAGUACUUCGCAAUCGAGACACAGCAUUGUGGAAGCCAAUGCAGCAGAGGCAGAAGAUGGAGGCGUGCGGGCUCAGCAGGAACUGCAGAGAAAUGCAGAUUUGUGAAGGUGCAGAAGCUACACAGGGAGUUGGCCUGCAGGGUCCAGAUACAGGAAGGAUGGCAAAGAGGACAGAGUUGUAGCACCGAGAAAACAGUCAUGGAUGACCUGGGGAGAGCGGGAGAGACAGAGGAGCUCGGUGGUCAUACAUGCCUUCUUGGCUGACUUCCUGAUCGGUUGGGGAGCCCAGCCCCACUGAGUCAGCUGGGUACAGCUGUCUCGUAUGGAUACAUGGAGCUGGUGGGAACCAAGAUGGAGAGUGGAAUAGGGGACUGAGCCCUUUGGGAUAUUUUUAAUUAGGAAGAAAAAUGAGCAGAAAUACUGAGCUGCCAUCCUGAGGGCAAAUUUAUCGCCCUUUAUCUUUUUGUAGGC